This 806-nucleotide long non-coding RNA is filed under the name Taeniopygia guttata (zebra finch). RNAcentral describes it as "lncRNA (ENSTGUG00000018943.1)". The record is from RNAcentral. Lineage: Eukaryota; Metazoa; Chordata; Aves; Passeriformes; Estrildidae.
CCGUGCGUGGUGGUGGGCGUGGCCAGGCCGCGCGUUGCGUUGCGCCGCGAGCGGCUCCGCGAGGGCGCCCCGGGCUCGGAGCGCGCGCGCGCGGCGUGGGGGGGGGGGCGCCCCCCCGCGCCCCCCACAAAAAAAACCUCCAAAUUUCACCUUUUUAACCGAAAUUUAACGAAUUAAAAAUAUCAUUCCUGAGGGGAAACCCACCCCAAACAACCCCCCCGUGCCGGCGGGGCGGCGGAAUUCCCCGCCCUUCCCCCGCUCCGCUCCCUCAGCCUGGAGCUCCGGAGCCCCCCCAGCCUGAGAAGAGCCCCCCAAAAACCCCCAAAAUCCCCCAAAAUCCCCCAAAUUCCCCCAAAAUCCCUCAAAUUCCCUCAAAUCCUCCAAAAUCCCUCAAAUUCCCCCCAAAAAUCCCCCCAAAAAUCCCCCAAAUUCCCCCCAAAAAUCCCCCAAAACCCCCCCAGAACCCCCAAAUUUCAUUUUUUUGGGGGGUCUAGACCCCUAAACCCCCCCCAAAUUCCCAUUUUUUGGGGUCAGGACCCCCCAAAUCUCCUUUAAAAUCCCCCAAAUUUCAGAUUUUUGGAGUCAGGACGUCCCAAAUCUUCCCCAAAUUUUGGAUUUUUGGGCUCAGAACCUCCUAAAUUUUGGAUUUUCCGGGCUCAGGACCCCCCCAAAUUUCAGAUUUUUGGGGUCAGAACCACCUAAAUUUCAGAUUUUCAGGAUCAAGACCCCCCAAAUUUCAGAUUUUCAGCCCCUCAACCCUCCAAAUUUCAGAUUUUUGGGGUCAAGACCCCCUAAAUUUCUGAUUU